RNAcentral lists this ribosomal RNA (259 nucleotides) under uncultured bacterium. Its description in RNAcentral is "partial 16S ribosomal RNA". It matches the Rfam family "Bacterial small subunit ribosomal RNA", at positions 28 to 288 of the family's 1533-position model. The record is from RNAcentral.
GACGAACGCUGGCGGCGUGCUUAACACAUGCAAGUCAAGGGGCCGACGCAAUAGGCGAACCGACCGGAACGGGUAGGCGUAACAACGUGAGCAACCUAACCGAAAUAGUGGGGAGUAGCCGGCCUAACGGCCGAGUAAUACCGCAUACGCUUUCAGAGAGGCAUUUCUUUGAAAGGAAACCUACGGGACAUUUCGAGGGGCUCGCGGCCUAUCAGCUAGUUGGCGAGGUAACGGCUCACCAAGGCAACGACGGGUAGCU